CCGUGGGGGGUCCUGGGGCCCAAGCUCCGCCGCGCUGGCCUCGCUGUGGCUCCCGGGUGCCUCGGACUCGCGGCCUUGGGCACAGCAGCCGGCCUGAGGCGUGGACGCUCGCGUUCUAAAUGACUGAUCAGAUUUAAUGAUUCCGCUGCGUUAAGGCGCUCCUGGUCGCCGGACCGGCUGGUUCGCUCUCUGUCUCUUGGAAACACUUUCAAACCUCAAGAGACUUAAGAUGUCAGCGUUCGAGCGCUUCCCGGCUCAGGGUCAAACUAACGCAGGGAUGAUGCACGAGGGCAACCUGUGCCCCGGGAGCCGGGCCCGGAGACCACACUCCGCACCUUCCACGGACUCGCCUCCCAUCAGUCAACGGCGCCCGCUCCCUCUGUGACUCAAUUUUGAAGUUGAUAGUUAAGCCUUAAUUUAGAGCCUUAUCUCUGGUAAUGGCUCUUAACUGCUUUAACUGCUCAUCAGUUUUCCUUGUGCUAAGCAAGAGUCAUCAGCUCACAUUUCAUUGAAAACUCAUUUAACCAUCUCCCAUAUGCUUUUAAGGACAAAAAAGCAAUACACUUAAUUAAGAUUUGAAAAACAACAGCUACAACGACUUCUCUAGGUUAAUAGUAUGUAAGCUAUUCUUUCUUCAACAGGCGGAGAUCUGGAUAAAAUAUUUGAAUGAUGUUUACUGAAUACUGGAAAUUCAUCAUGUAUCCAAAUGCCUUACAGCGAUGCAAUUAAACAAUUUUCUAAUUUGCAAAAUAGAGGGUUUCAUCUCCCAGUCAAGCCCCUAUUUCUGUACUGCACAAGAACAAGGCAGAAGGAAGCCGGAAAAGGGAGGAGACCAGAAGUAAAGGAAAUACCCCGUUACAAGUGGUGAACUGUUCCAGCUGACAAGUGUGAAGGGGGACCUCACAGAAGGCUCAGGAGGGUUAUCGCAUAUUUGAACACAACGUUAGCCUCACAACUUAUGAGAACAAAAAUAGCACUCAGAUGUAUGAAAUCUGCCUAAAUAAGCAAAACAAGGCAUGAUACACAUAAAACCCACAGAGCUAUGAGUAUCUGUGUUAUUACUCAUAUUCUAUUUACAAAUCUUUAGAAGUCCUUAAAGCAGUACUCCUGCUACCCAUGUAGUACACGGUUACAAAGUCAAGUUGCUAAGGAAAAUUUACAACCACACAAAUAAAUCAGCAAAGCAGAAGAAAUAGUGAAGUUUUCCAAACCCUAAGAUCUUUAGGCCCCCUGGAUUAUUAGUCUGAGUCGUGAUCUCAGGGUUGUGAGAUCCAGCCCUGCCUCAAGCUCCAUGGAUCAGACUACAGCUGCAAGUCAGGCAAAAUGAAUUCCUGCACGGUAGAAAAUAAAAAUGUCUACUCCUGCUAACAGAAGAUAAGAUACCUGAAAUUAUACAGUUUUGGGUCCAUUUGGCCUCCUCAAGGACUUACUCUUCUUACUAUUGCCUAUCUUAGCCUUAAUCAUUAACUUCUCCCUUUCUGCUAGAUCAUUUUCAUACAUACCCUCUAAGUAUUUUUGAUAAAAAAAUACAGUCAAAACUACAAUAACAAGAGACACUUUUCAUGCCAUGCUGUCACCUUCUUUCAUACACACAAAAUAACUUCUGGAAGGAAACAUUUGACAAAAGCAUUUCUCAAUGCUGGCAGCAUAUUAGAAUUCCUGAGGAACUCUUAAAAUACUCCAAGCUCUAAAGAUACUGCUAAGUAAGCUCUUUCCUCUAUACCUUUCCUCCCUCCCAGAAGCUCUGGUUUAACUGAUUUGAGAUUAGACUGGUUUAGGAUUAGACUACCGAUAACUUCCAAAGUUCCAUAGGUAAUUCUAAGAUGAAUCCAGGGUUGAAAGACAUUAGUUUCUAUUCUUUUUUUCAAUUCCCAUCAAUGCUACUCCAUUGAAACUCUACUACCUGAGGUCACCAAUCACUUCCAUGUUAUCAGAUACAAUAGUCACAUUUUGUCCUCAUCUUACCUUCUCUUCAGCAUCCCAAGUGACAAUUCCCUUCCUGACAGUUUACUUUUUCUCAGCUUCCACAACACCACAGUCUUCUGUUUUUUGUUUUUGUUUUUGUUUCUUUUCUUUUUCUUUUUUUUUUUUUUCCCCGUCUAAACAGUGACUCUGGAUUAUCUUUGGUGCCUCCUCUUUUGCUAGGUUUUGAAAUGUUAUUACAUCCUGAGGUUCAAUUCUGAGAAUCUUUGUUUUAAUCUAAACUUUCUCUUUAGGGAGUCUCAUUUAGUCCAAUGGGUUUAAAUACUAUCUACAUAGCUGACUCUCAAAUUGUUAACAUUAAUCCUGACAACUCAAUAUUUGUAAAUCCAACUGCUUAUUUGACAUCUAUACUUGAAUAUCUAGGAGGGCACCUCAACAACUACAAAAUAAAACUCUGGAUUCAA
Canis lupus familiaris (dog) is the source of this 2387-nucleotide long non-coding RNA. RefSeq lists it as uncharacterized. The transcript has 5 exons. The record is from RefSeq and is a predicted model, not a curated record. Lineage: Eukaryota; Metazoa; Chordata; Mammalia; Carnivora; Canidae.